Daucus carota subsp. sativus is the source of this 1435-nucleotide long non-coding RNA. RefSeq lists it as uncharacterized. The record is from RefSeq and is a predicted model, not a curated record. Lineage: Eukaryota; Viridiplantae; Streptophyta; Magnoliopsida; Apiales; Apiaceae. The transcript has 7 exons.
CGUCAAUUUAUAUAUCUUCCGACUUCCUCCCGCUGUUAAAACGUGUGUUCUUUUUCAACAGCAGUACCAACAAGAACUUUCCCCCAAAAUUUGAGAUAAGUAGGUAAACUUCUACGAUCAAAGCAUCAAGUCGUUGUAGUAUAGUGGUAAGUAUUCCCGCCUGUCACGCGGGUGACCCGGGUUCGAUCCCCGGCAGCGGCGCAAUUUUUGUUUCAUUUUUGCUCCCGCUCCAAACCGAGUAAUCACUAUAUAUAUACAGAAACCCCGACUUAAAGCUUCAAUUCUCAAACAAUUUGAAGAUUUUCCGGCGACGAUUCGAAUUGCAAGGAAUCUUUUAACGGCAACCAAGGGUUUCCGACGACUUUCUCUCCCUACAAACCCAUUGAUGAGUCAUAUGCUCAAGGUCUAAUAGCAUUAGAACAAUGUCAAUCUACGCGGCAAGAUGAUGAUUGAAAGGGUCUUGUUUUACUAGGCAUGGCGCCCUUAUUCUCGCAAAGUUGAAAUUAUGAGGAAGCGAUUGAGCAGCUUAAGAAAGUUCAAGGCUUGGCAGUUUCCUCAUUGGCUAUUAAAGUGGCUGCUAUUCAAGCACACUUGGAACUCGGUCAGGUUUUACUCGGAAAAUGAUUUGAUUGUGUGUGCUAGUAAUUUACAUUGAGCUCAGUCUUUAGCAGCGAUAUGUAUUUAUCUGGAGAAUGUUCUCCAUAUAUAGGAAGAUACUUCAUCAGUGCUUGCAGAUAUAUGCUUAUAAUCUCUGGAAUCUGUCCAGCUGGAAAAUGGCAGCAAUUAUGGAGAUGGAUUACUGGAUGCUCGACUGCUCUUGCUAAGGCAAUGUUGCCUUAUCAUAUGGAGGAUUCCUUCAUGGCUCAUGCCAAGCAAAAUUUUCCAAUGGCGAAGGAAAUCUUUUGAAAAAGUAAUCCAAGGGGUGUCAGAAACAACAGAUUUGAGCGAUCCACAUAACUUAGCAGCUGGUAAUAUGAUUUUGGAGUGAGCUCUUAUGGCGGCUACUUGUUUAUUGUGGCAGCUUGAGGCACAGUUAGGAAAUUUUGCAGAGGCAGAGGAGAUGUUAUGUGUGGGGCCUAGUAGAACCGAGGUGAGGUCUAGUUGAACUUAGAUGGUACCAGCAUCGUGGGAUAGGUGUGUGAUCUCAUAUAGGAGGAUGUAGGGAAUUAAAUAAUGGGGCAUAAGCGGCGGCGGAGGCGACCGGGAAGCAGUACAGAUACACAUUAAGGAGUGUCAACCCAUCAAGACUAUUAAGUAUGCAGCGUUGCUUUAAACAAUCCCCCCGUUUGAGACGUUCUUGGCCUUUCGGGAUUAUCCUAUCCCCCGACCAAACACAGGAAACUGCUUAGUGAGUUUGGUCGAAACUACUUUAUUCAACGCAACAUCUCUUUAGCUUAAAAAUUAAAUUCUAAUGUUGGUGUCGAUUGGAAUUCCG